Long non-coding RNA from Cyprinus carpio carpio, 615 nucleotides. Lineage: Eukaryota; Metazoa; Chordata; Actinopteri; Cypriniformes; Cyprinidae. The record is from Ensembl.
CUGAACCUAGAUCAAUAUGCUCUGGGACGUGACAUGAUCUGCUCGCUGAAGGGAUGGAAACCUGGCUGAGAGUACAGGCCCCUGGGACGCAGAACAGGGAUAAACCUCAGGGCCCGUGAAAAAAGUGAAGAAAAAAAGAAAAAGUCAAGAAAGACGCCAGCCCAAGGCCAAUGAAGAUGAUAAAACUAUCAAAUCAUGCCUGACUGCAUCUAUGAUGUUGUAACCCUGCUGUUGAUAAUAAGCGAGAAGUGGAAUAUGAUCAGUCUUCAGAGAGCGGACGCGGCUGCAAGAUGGAGAAACUGCAAGUGUUAGGUCUGGAUGAAGUUAUUACAAAACCUUUUUGGAAACAGUAACAUGAAUCGGUUAAGUAUUACUAAUAAUUAUGAAAAAUUAUGCCACAUUACAGUUCAUUAUGAAUACCUGUAUAACGCAUCCUUCACUCUUUUCCCUAAAAUUAUUUUUCUCUUCUAUAUGUUUUGAUCCACAAUUGGCCCUGGAAAGGAAAUGUGGAUUAAAAGCCCUCCUCUGAACACUAGCUGACAGAUGCUAGUUUAAUGAUGUCAAAACAUGCUAUCAGUCGCCAUCGCUUCCACUGAGCUGGAUACUGACAGAUCC